Molecule: transfer RNA, 67 nt
Filed under: Archotermopsis wroughtoni
Lineage: Eukaryota; Metazoa; Arthropoda; Insecta; Blattodea; Termopsidae
Description: tRNA-Tyr
Source: RNAcentral
AGUAGAGUGUCUGAGAUUAAAGGUGAUAGAUUGUAAAUUUAUUUACGGGGUAACCCCCUCUCUACUA